RNA transcript from Galeopterus variegatus (Sunda flying lemur), 1541 nucleotides. It is a transcript of the gene named radial spoke head 1 homolog (Chlamydomonas), with no coding region annotated. The record is from RefSeq and is a predicted model, not a curated record. NCBI's taxonomy places the organism in Eukaryota, Metazoa, Chordata, Mammalia, Dermoptera, Cynocephalidae. The transcript is spliced from 10 exons.
GCGUCUCCAUGGCGACGUCGGACGCGGCGGUGAGGGCGGCUGGUACCCACCUGCUAGAGACGCUGCAGCGGGGAUCGACGCUGGGACGAGAUCAUGUCGGAACUGGGCUCCGAGGAGUUGGAGGAGGAGGGAGAGAAUGAUAUCGGGGAAUACGAGGGGGAUCGGAAUGAGGCAGGUGAACGGCAUGGACACGGGAAAGCGAGACUACCCAAUGGGGACACAUAUGAAGGGACCUAUGAAUUCGGUAAAAGACAUGGCCAGGGGAUCUACAAAUUUAAAAAUGGUGCUCGAUACAUCGGAGAAUAUGUUAAAAAUAAAAAGCAUGGUCAAGGCACUUUUAUAUAUCCAGAUGGAUCGAGAUUUGAAGGGGAGUGGGUGGAUAACCAGAGGCAUGGCCAUGGUGUGUACUACUACAUCAACAAUGACACCUACACUGGAGAGUGGUUUGCUCACCAAAGGCAUGGGCAAGGCACCUAUUUCUAUGCAGAGACGGGCAGUAAGUACGUCGGGACCUGGGUGAACGGACAGCAGGAGGGUGCAGCUGAGCUCAUUCACCUGAACCACAGGUACCAGGGCAAAUUCUUGAACAAAAACCCUGUUGGCCCUGGAAAGUACGUGUUUGACAUUGGAUGUGAGCAGCAUGGUGAAUAUCGCUUAACGGACAUGGAACGAGAAGAGGAAGAGGAGGAGGAGAUGUUAGCAGCUGUCAUUCCAAAAUGGAAAGCUAUCAAAAUCACAGAAUUGGCCCUGUGGACACCGACCCUCCGUGAGGAGCCGCCACGUAUGGAGGAGGCAGUCCAGGAAGAGGCACCAGGUGCUGAGGGUGUGGGAGAGCCCGUGGAGGAUGUUCAGACUCUGAUGGACGUUUCCGAGGAAGACACAGAUUUGAUGAGACCUGGAGAUGAAGAUGCAGACGCCAUCCAGGAGGACCGCUGGGACGAGUUCCGCUAUGACAUGGCCCUGGGAAAUGUUAGUUUUGAGGAAGAAGAGACCAGACAAUCGGAUGGGCCGGAGUAACGCGGAGCGAGGGGCGAGGCGGGGAGGCCGUGUCGUGGGCGCUCUGCCGGCGGGCAGCUCACGCGAAUCGGUCAUUCAUCUCUCUCCCAGUCGUUCCUCGUGUCGGUUUACGAUCGCAAAUAAAUCUGUUCACGAUCCUGUUUCUGAAAUAGCCUCUGCUUCAAGUUCUUUAAACCACAGGUUAUCAGGUUGUAGAGUUUUCUCCUGGGAACAAGAAAGCUGUGACUGCAGAAGACGGCUCAUGGGAAUAGAAUUCCAGCCAAGCCAGAAGGACAGUCACAGUCAGCCUGCCACAUUGGUGGGGCCCGAGGGGCUGAUUGGGGACCAGAGUCUCCUCAGAUUUGGGUACCCUGCGUGGUGGGCGGGUCCUGGAACCAAUCCCCUGGGAAUAUGAGGGAUGACUGUAUAUAAUAAAACUUCUCUCUCAAAUUUCUCUUGAGAAAGCUAGGGAAACACCUAGAAAGGGAUUAUGUGUGCAACUCUCACAAAACGCAAUAUAAUAAAUACAAACGUACUUCAAAGUG